This is a long non-coding RNA of Bactrocera neohumeralis, 908 nucleotides long. RefSeq lists it as uncharacterized. The record is from RefSeq and is a predicted model, not a curated record. The transcript has 4 exons. Lineage: Eukaryota; Metazoa; Arthropoda; Insecta; Diptera; Tephritidae.
GUGAGAUUUGUUGUGAGGUUAUUCUUGCUCAAACCUCACAAGAAAAAACACAAUAACUCACCAUCAUGAGGUGAAAAGCACUUUGCUGUGAACCAGCUGUUUUAAGUAUAUGAACAAACAAAACAAAAUAAAGAAAUUGACAACCAAGAGAAGAAUUCAAAAUUCGAAAGAACAAGGCAGGAGCAGCUGCAGUUUUACGCAAUGUUCUGCAAGUAGCAUUCUGAGUUGCAAGGAGGGAAGCUAACUUCGACCAACCCUCGAGGCCUGCAAAUGUUGUGGUUGAAGUUAGCAGAAGCGUUAAAUUCAUUAGGAGAGCCAACAUACAGCAACCAAAUGGAAGAGUCGGUAACACACUGGAAACACCAAUUGCGUUGAUAAACGCGCAAACCCACGCGCUGAUUCUUGUUGGAUGCCCUCCAGCUGUAGAGAUAUCAGAAUUUAAAGAGAAUUACCUACUCCUCCAACCUUUGGGGCAGCAGUGGUCGAUGGAUUGCCGGGUGUUGGGAGUUUGGGUUUCCAGGUAUUGCCGCCAUUGUAUAUAACAACGGACCCAGUCCCUGCUCCCACUCAAGCUCCAGCUCCAAUUCCAGCACCAACACCAUCUCCAGUUCUAGCUCCUGCUCCAGUUCCAACUCCAGCUUUUCCUGCUAUAUAUCCCACCCCUUUACCUUCUUCACCAUCACUUCCCAUUUCAUCACCUCUUAUCCUAUCUUUUCCCAUCCUACCUUCUCCUACCCCAUCAACUUUAGCAGCAAAAGUGCUUGGAGCUUCUUCUUCUUUAAUGGCGUAGACACCGUUUACGCGGUUAUAGCCGAGGAUGGAUGUAUGUGUAAAAGUUCCCUGAUUGCCAUUCACUUGGGAGUGACGAGAAACACUACCAAUGAAAAGGAAAUGCAAUACAUUGGCGC